Long non-coding RNA from Wasmannia auropunctata (little fire ant), 963 nucleotides. RefSeq lists it as uncharacterized. The transcript has 6 exons. NCBI's taxonomy places the organism in Eukaryota, Metazoa, Arthropoda, Insecta, Hymenoptera, Formicidae. The record is from RefSeq and is a predicted model, not a curated record.
GAAAUGUUACUAUGCAACAAAAACAAAUAAUAAUAUGUUAUUUAUUUGUUAUUGAUUGAUCGUUCACGCGAGAGAUACAUACAGACGAGGAGUUAACAUUAUAUAUUGGAAUUAAGACAUUUAUUAUAUUAGAAUAUAUCAAAGAAUUUCGUAUUGCAAUUCGCUGCUUAGAUCGUGAAAAAAAGAGAAUAAAAUUCAAGAUUAAAUAAGACUCAUUAUAUGAAGUGUUUUGGAAUCUUUGAAAGAUACGUAUAAUUAUUCAGGAAAAUUUAUAUACAAAGAUGAAUCAAGAAAAUAAUAUUUCUAAUAAUUCUUCGGAUAAACCCGAAAUUAUGCAUUCUGAAUUAGAAAAUUUAAAUAACUUAACAUUGUUAACUCCCAAUGAAGUUUUCGAUAAUAUUAAAAUUUUUGAUUCAACAAUCGAAAUUGUAGGUUACGUGGAUGGGAUAGAAGCUCCACGUCUUGUAGGUUCGUCAAACCAAUAUAAAGUUUUUAAAUUUUUUUUAAAUAAUGGUUCUGGCAAACGUGUACAAGUCAUUGUUUGGAACGAGGAAAUUGAUCGCAUUGAGAAUUACAUAAAAUCCAACUGUAUUAUACAUUUAGAUGGUGUGCAAGCUCGUACACCUAAAAUAGCUCAUUUUAAUAAUGGCAAUGUGCCUUACGAAUAAUUCAAUCAAACACUGUUAUAUCUUCUUUGGGUAGUUAUAACAUAUCUAUUAAAUCAAAUGUACGAGUCGAAUUUUUGAACGUAAUGAAUACUUCAACGCAUGUCAUUCUGGAAGGAUACAUAAAAACAAAUUUUGCAGCCAUAUAUAAUAACAAAUUAAAUAAAAUAAUAGGAUGUGGUUCUUUAACCGACGGAUAUUCUAAAUUAGAAGUACACAUUAUAAAUUUCGAUGAUAAUAAUUAUAAUGAUUUAAAUUUAUAUAAAGGAGACAAAAUUGAAUUAACUGGAAUAAUGCA